This 94-nucleotide transfer RNA is filed under the name Sporobacter termitidis DSM 10068. RNAcentral describes it as "Selenocysteine transfer RNA". It matches the Rfam family "Selenocysteine transfer RNA". The record is from Rfam by way of RNAcentral. Lineage: Bacteria; Bacillati; Bacillota; Clostridia; Eubacteriales; Oscillospiraceae.
GGAGGUAGAUGGGUAGCUGGUGUGCCCCACGGUCUUCAAAACCGAUGUGGGCGGUUAGUAGCCGCCUCGGUGGGUUCGAUUCCCACAUGCCUCC